AGUGAACGCUGGCGGUAGGCCUAACACAUGCAAGUCGAACGGCAGCACAGUAAGAGCUUGCUCUUACGGGUGGCGAGUGGCGGACGGGUGAGGAAUACAUCGGAAUCUACUUUUUCGUGGGGGAUAACGUAGGGAAACUUACGCUAAUACCGCAUACGACCUACGGGUGAAAGCAGGGGAUCUUCGGACCUUGCGCGAUUGAAUGAGCCGAUGUCGGAUUAGCUAGUUGGCGGGGUAAAGGCCCACCAAGGCGACGAUCCGUAGCUGGUCUGAGAGGAUGAUCAGCAAAACGGGAACUGAGACACGGUGCAGACUCCUACGGGAGGCAGCAGUGGGGAAUAUUGGACAAUGGGCGCAAGCCUGAUCCAGACAUACCGCGUGGGUGAAGAAGGCCUUAGGGUUGUAAAGCCCUUUUGUUGGGAAAGAAAAGCAGCAGGUUAAUACCCCGCUGUUCUGACGGUACCCAAAGAAUAAGCACCGGCUAACUUCGUG
This 492-nucleotide ribosomal RNA is filed under the name uncultured bacterium. RNAcentral describes it as "partial 16S ribosomal RNA". It matches the Rfam family "Bacterial small subunit ribosomal RNA", at positions 29 to 507 of the family's 1533-position model. The record is from RNAcentral.